GAUGAACGCUGGCGGCGUGCCUAAUACAUGCAAGUCGAGCGAACGGACGAGAAGCUUGCUUCUCUGAUGUUAGCGGCGGACGGGUGAGUAACACGUGGAUAACCUACCUAUAAGACUGGGAUAACUUCGGGAAACCGGAGCUAAUACCGGAUAAUAUUUUGAACCGCAUGGUUCAAUAGUGAAAGACGGUCUUGCUGUCACUUAUAGAUGGAUCCGCGCUGCAUUAGCUAGUUGGUAAGGUAACGGCUUACCAAGGCAACGAUGCAUAGCCGACCUGAGAGGGUGAUCGGCCACACUGGAACGGAGACACGGUCCAGACUCCUAGGGGAGGCAGCAGUAGGGAAUCUUCCGAAAGGGGCGAAAGCCUGACGGAGCAACGCCGCGGGAGUGAUGAAGGUCUUCGGAUCGUAAAACUUUGUUAUUAGGGAAGAACAUAUGUGUAAGUAACUGGGAACAUCUUGACGGUACCUAAUCAGAAAGCAACGGCUAACUACGU
This 496-nucleotide ribosomal RNA is filed under the name uncultured bacterium. RNAcentral describes it as "partial 16S ribosomal RNA". It matches the Rfam family "Bacterial small subunit ribosomal RNA", at positions 28 to 506 of the family's 1533-position model. The record is from RNAcentral.